GAUGAACGCUAGCGGCAGGCUUAAUACAUGCAAGUCGAACGGGAUUCGGUGUAGCAAUACAUUGAUGAGAGUGGCGCACGGGUGCGUAACGCGUAUGCAACCUACCUUUAACAGGGGAAUAGCCCCGAGAAAUCGGGAUUAAUACUCCGUAACAUUGCGGUGUGGCAUCACACUGCAAUUAAAGAUUCAUCGGUUAAAGAUGGGCAUGCGUGACAUUAGCUAGUUGGUGAGGUAACGGCUCACCAAGGCCACGAUGUCUAGGGGUCCUGAGAGGGUUAUCCCCCACACUGGUACUGAGACACGGACCAGACUCCUACGGGAGGCAG
This 326-nucleotide ribosomal RNA is filed under the name uncultured Bacteroidota bacterium. RNAcentral's name for it is "bacterial SSU rRNA". It matches the Rfam family "Bacterial small subunit ribosomal RNA", at positions 28 to 351 of the family's 1533-position model. Lineage: Bacteria; Pseudomonadati; Bacteroidota. The record is from RNAcentral.